CAGUAGCCGCGGGAAUACGUAGGGUGCAAGCGUUAAUCGGAAUUACUGGGCGUAAAGCGUGCGCAGGCGGUUUGUUAAGACAGAUGUGAAAUCCCCGGGCUCAACCUGGGAACUGCAUUUGUGACUGGCAAGCUAGAGUGUGGCAGAGGGGGGUGGAAUUCCGCGUGUAGCAGUGAAAUGCGUAGAUAUGCGGAGGAACACCGAUGGCGAAGGCAGCCCCCUGGGCCAACACUGACGCUCAUGCACGAAAGCGUGGGGAGCAAACAGGAUUAGAUACCCGUGUAGUCCCUGUCUCUUAUAA
Molecule: ribosomal RNA, 301 nt
Filed under: uncultured bacterium
Lineage: Bacteria
Description: partial 16S ribosomal RNA
Rfam family: Bacterial small subunit ribosomal RNA
Source: RNAcentral